AUUUUUAUAGUGUAAUUUCCAACACAUUACAUUUUCAUUGUAAAGCUGAAGAUUUUUCUUCUAAAAAUA
RNAcentral lists this transfer RNA (69 nucleotides) under Lauridromia dehaani. RNAcentral's name for it is "tRNA-Glu". It matches the Rfam family "tRNA". Rfam says of the family: Transfer RNA (tRNA) molecules are approximately 80 nucleotides in length. Their secondary structure includes four short double-helical elements and three loops (D, anti-codon, and T loops). Further hydrogen bonds mediate the characteristic L-shaped molecular structure. tRNAs have two regions of fundamental functional importance: the anti-codon, which is responsible for specific mRNA codon recognition, and the 3' end, to which the tRNAs corresponding amino acid is attached (by aminoacyl-tRNA synthetases). tRNAs cope with the degeneracy of the genetic code in two manners: having more than one tRNA (with a specific anti-codon) for a particular amino acid; and 'wobble' base-pairing, i.e. permitting non-standard base-pairing at the 3rd anti-codon position. The record is from RNAcentral. Lineage: Eukaryota; Metazoa; Arthropoda; Malacostraca; Decapoda; Dromiidae.